Molecule: long non-coding RNA, 1236 nt
Organism: Pyrus x bretschneideri (Chinese white pear)
Lineage: Eukaryota; Viridiplantae; Streptophyta; Magnoliopsida; Rosales; Rosaceae
Exons: 2
Source: RefSeq, a predicted model, not a curated record
CGUCAACAAGCAAAAAUCUCCACAUGCUUAAAACUUAUCGGUAGGAUUUCGGCCUAAUUAUUUUCUCAGAUUCUAACAUUUCAUGUCCACAGCCUCUCCGCCACAUGGGAGCCAAACAUGUUGUAAUCAACACAGAUUGAGCCCAACAUAUUCUCAAAAUUGUACCAUAUUUAGCAAAAAAUUGUGUAUAUAGCUACUUAUCUAAACCAAAAGCUAUCACGAAGAAGAAGCUGUGCACAAAGGAGAUUCCAUCUUAUCUUGUGUAAGUAAUGGACAAAGGAAGAAGAUUCCUCUUGUUCCUAGAUAAAUUUGGAAGAGUUUCGGGAGAGUUUCUCCUUAGCCUAUAAAUAUGUGUGUAUCCUUUGUAAGAACUCAGACUUGAAUGGAAAUCAGUUCUUUGUAUUAACGUUUCUUGUUAAUCCUUGUUUGAGUCAUCUUUGCAGCGGUGACGCUUAGUGUGAUCAUCUGUGCUUUCAACUAUGUCUUGGGGUAAAAUUCCUUACCCUCUGUUAGUGCAUAAGUGUUUUGCAAAAAAUGAAUAUUGGUCUCUACAAAUUUAAAAGCCUUGAUUAAAUUUGAGCCCUUGGAUCAUAGUCCACGUGUGCAUUUCAGAUUCAUUUAGUUAAGUGAUUGUUUUUUCUACAUAUAACUAUCUUAUAGGAUAGAUUGCUUGAAUUGUUGGAUUUACUUUGAUGUAAGAGAGAAACUCUCAUCUCUUUCCUCUCUCUUUGUAACGGUUAUAUGCUCAUUACACUUAGUGUGUGAGCUGUCAAUGGAAUCCAAGUAUUGUUAGCACCUUCCUUUUCUCUCUGUCAUUUUCGAGCAACCUGCAAAUCUGCAGGACUCAUUCUCACGGCCUCCAUUGAUAAACACUCAAGCUAAAACAUACUCACUUUGUAUAACAAUUGAAAAAAAUUAAUAUCUUGCUUCGCUUCUGGAUCCUUCUCUCCUCCUUGGUCACUCCAGACAUGCGGGAAUAAUUGUAUUCUCCGAUUGCAAAACAUGGUUUUCCGUUACUCUCAUACAUUUUGAGAAGGGAAUGCUGUUGCUGACAAAUUAGCCAAUUUAGAGCUUCUCUCAUCUUCACUUGUUUGGCAUUCUGCUCCUCCUAUAGAGAUUCUUCCUCUUCUGCACUCAGAUUUCUUGAGCAUGCCAGCCUACAGCUUGUUUUGCAGGCUCUUACCUUUUAAGGUUUAUAGAGGGGUUUGAGUAUAUGUCCACUCAAUCUUUUUCUUG